UACGGAGGGUGCGAGCGUUGUCCGGAAUCAUUGGGCGUAAAGGGCGCGUAGGUGGCCCGGUAAGCGUGCGGUGAAAGCUUGGGGCUCAACCCCGAGUCGGCCGUGCGAACUGCUGGGCUUGAGCGCUGUAGAGGCAGGCGGAAUUCCGGGUGUCGCGGUGGAAUGCGUAGAGAUCCGGAAGAACACCGGUGGCGAAGGCGGCCUGCUGGGCAGUGGCUGACACUGAGGCGCGACAGCGUGGGGAGCAAACAGG
This 253-nucleotide ribosomal RNA is filed under the name uncultured bacterium. Its description in RNAcentral is "partial 16S ribosomal RNA". It matches the Rfam family "Bacterial small subunit ribosomal RNA", at positions 524 to 776 of the family's 1533-position model. The record is from RNAcentral.